UGAGGGAUAUUGGUCAAUGGGCGGAAGCCUGAACCAGCCAUCCCGCGUGCAGGAAGACGGCCCUAUGGGUUGUAAACUGCUUUUCCGGGCGAAGAACACCCCCGACGUGUCGGGGUCUGACGGUAGCCCGGGAAUAAGCACCGGCUAACUCCGUGCCAGCAGCCGCGGUAAUACGGAGGGUGCGAGCGUUAUCCGGAUUUAUUGGGUUUAAAGGGUGCGUAGGCGGCCUUUUAAGUUAGUGGUGAAAACCUGCGGCUCAACCGUAGGCGUGCCAUUGAAACUGAAGGGCUUGAGUUACCGUGAGGCAGGCGGAAUGUGCAGUGUAGCGGUGAAAUGCUUAGAUAUUGCACAGAACACCGAUUGCGAAGGCAGCUUGCCAAAGGUUUACUGACGCUGAUGCACGAAAGCGUGGGGAUCGAACA
Molecule: ribosomal RNA, 422 nt
Filed under: uncultured prokaryote
Description: bacterial SSU rRNA
Rfam family: Bacterial small subunit ribosomal RNA
Source: RNAcentral